Octodon degus (degu) is the source of this 107-nucleotide small nuclear RNA. NCBI's taxonomy places the organism in Eukaryota, Metazoa, Chordata, Mammalia, Rodentia, Octodontidae. The record is from Ensembl.
GUGCUCACUUUGGCAGCACAUAUACUAGAAUUAGAAUGAUACAGAGAAGAUUAGCACAGCCCCUGCACAAGGGUGAAAAGUGGCAUACAGCAAAAUAACAGAUGAAU